This 347-nucleotide ribosomal RNA is filed under the name uncultured soil bacterium. RNAcentral describes it as "bacterial SSU rRNA". It matches the Rfam family "Bacterial small subunit ribosomal RNA", at positions 26 to 394 of the family's 1533-position model. The record is from RNAcentral.
AGAACGAACGCUGGCGGCAUGCCUAACACAUGCAAGUCGAACGAGACCUUCGGGUCUAGUGGCGCACGGGUGCGUAACGCGUGGGAAUCUGCCCUUGGGUACGGAAUAACAGUUAGAAAUGACUGCUAAUACCGUAUAAUGACUUCGGUCCAAAGAUUUAUCGCCCAGGGAUGAGCCCGCGUAGGAUUAGCUUGUUGGUGAGGUAAAGGCUCACCAAGGCGACGAUCCUUAGCUGGUCUGAGAGGAUGAUCAGCCACACGUGGACUGAGACACGGCCCAGACUCCGUACGGGAGGCAGCGAGUGGGAAUAGUUAGGACAAGUCGGGACGAAAGCCGUCGACUACCGA